RNAcentral lists this transfer RNA (72 nucleotides) under Zea mays. It matches the Rfam family "tRNA". From Rfam's summary of the family: Transfer RNA (tRNA) molecules are approximately 80 nucleotides in length. The record is from Rfam by way of RNAcentral. Lineage: Eukaryota; Viridiplantae; Streptophyta; Magnoliopsida; Poales; Poaceae.
GCCUGUCUAGCUUAGUCGGUAAAUACAAGGUUCUUAACCUUGUGGUUGUGGGUUCAAGCCCCACGGUGGGUG